UACCUUGUUUCCUUUCUUGAG
This 21-nucleotide unclassified non-coding RNA is filed under the name Dictyostelium discoideum. Lineage: Eukaryota; Evosea; Eumycetozoa; Dictyosteliales; Dictyosteliaceae. The record is from RNAcentral.